This is a non-coding RNA of Callithrix jacchus (white-tufted-ear marmoset), 12724 nucleotides long. The record is from RefSeq and is a predicted model, not a curated record. NCBI's taxonomy places the organism in Eukaryota, Metazoa, Chordata, Mammalia, Primates, Cebidae.
UGAUCCUGCCACGCAAGAAUGGCCAGAAACCUUACGCGUAGCUCUUGAAGCUAGGUGCACGCUGCAAUCACUUGGGAAAAAUUUUAAAUCUCCCUAUCCAGGCCACUCCCAUACAAAUUACACCAGAAUUCUGGGGGGUGGAGCCCGGUUACCAGAAUGUUUCAGUUCCCCAAAUUAUUUCAAUGUGUGGCCAAGGUUGAAAAGCACCACGUGAGUGGCUCUGCUGUACAGGGGACCCUCUGGAGAGGGGGAUCAGCACAACUGCUGCCUCGGUCCCUCUGCACCCUGCCCAAGGUCCUGGCUCCACAUCUUGGGCAAGAAGCAAAACGUCCAGCCUAAAGCUCUCCCAACUGCAGAGGCGCAUGCUGGGGAUCUGCUGGGGACCGUGGAGACUCAGCCAGGUUUGACUGACAGGUUUGUCCCAGGAGCCCAAACGCCUUGCCCAUUCGUGAUCACUCCAAAACCGCAGGCCGCAGCUGCCAGGCCGAUGUGCAGGACAGCACCACCUCACUUCCAGGAAGAGCUCAUGGGAGUGAGCCAGGCACAAUGGGAUCGCUGUGAAAACGCAAUGCAGGAGGUAAGGAUUCGAGAAGGGGGAAUGUGUAUGUUUCAUGUAAUCCAUUCUGAUGCCAAAGAGCCAGGGCUUAGCGGGAGGUAACUGUUUGGGGAGGUUGAUGCAUAGAGCUCUAGGCUGGAAAUGACAGCUAGGCUACACAUCCCCUACUCUGGGUCCCCCGAGUUUCCAUUCAUUCUUCCUCAGAGCGGACUGCCAAAUCCUAACCCAGAACGCCUUCUUGGGGAAGGACAGGAAAGCCCGCAUGGGACUCCGCUUUGCAGCCCAGGAUCAGGCCCACUUCAGUAAAUGCCAGCACUGAGCAGAAACUCAGCCCCUGAUGCCAGGCUGGCACCCACAGAGGAAGCCUCUCAACCUGCCCCACACCGGAAGGGAAACUGCGGCCCUGUAGCACAGACCUGUGUUCGGGCCGCAUCACUGCGGCUGCAGCCGUCACAGGCCUCAGAUAAACCUCAGCUCCAGGCAGGCGCUGGCACCCACAGGCCUCGGGCACUGGGCUGGUCUCACGGCAGUGGACUCUGGGUGUGACCCAGUAUUGUGUCAGCCUCGGUGGCCAUAGGGUUACCCGUGCACCCCUCCCCCAACCCCAGCACAGCAGCAUGAAGAGAGACACUGUUUGCUUAGGGAAAAAGAGGUAGGUUGAGGACUUUGCCUGGGAACGCAGUACUAGGUUCACUACAGUAAAACCCAGUACUGGGCAGAGCCUCAGCUCCCUGAUACUAGACCAGUACCCACAGGCAGAUCUCACGCCACCCUAGUGCCAGAUGACAACACGCACCCCAGCGACAGGGACUUGGGGUCUGGCCCACAUCACCACCUACCAGCUACAGGGACCUUGGGUGCUGAAUAAACCUCAGCAGUAGCAGGCAAGCCAUCGCAGCCAUGGGUCUUGGGCGAGCCCAGUGCUGUGCGGGUCUCAGCAGCCAUGGCCUUCAGGCGUGACCCGGGCUGUGUCGGUCUCAGAGACCAGAGAAUUCCAACCACAGUGAUCCCGGACUUAGGGCAUGCCCUGGCACUACAACAGCUGAUGCAGUCAUGGGCUUAGGGUCCUGAGCAAUCAGCCUCUCCUUAAUCUCGGAUGAAAGAAGAGCCCAAACAAAGCCGCAUGAUGAAGACUGGCUUCGGUACCUGUGUCAAUGCACGGACAUUGGCACACAGCCCUAAGAAGCAAGAUCAGUCAGAGGAACAUGACAUCGCUAAAUGAACAAAUUAGGGUUCCAUGACUAACCCCAGAGAUUCAGAGCUGAGGCCUGGCACGGUGGCUCAGGCCUGUAAUCCCAGCGCUUAGGAAGGCCGAGGCGGGAGGAUCACUUGAGCCCAGGAGUUCAAGAUCAGCCUGGGAAACAUAGUAAGAUGCUAUCUCUACAAAAAAAAAAAAAUCAAAAAACUUUAGAUGGGCAUAGUGGUGCACGCCUGUGGUCCCAAAAUGCUCAGGAGACCGCUUGAGGCCAGGAGUUCGAGGCCGCAGUGAACUAUGAUUGUGCCACUGCACUCCAGCCUGGGCAACAGAAUGAAACCUUGUAUCUAAAUAAAUAAGAUGUAAUAAAAUAAAGUGAUAAUAUGGGUAACAUCUAAGCACUAUUUCUUAUAAAAGGUGAAAGUCUUUUAUAUGUACUGUCUUCCUAUCCUUACACAGCCAUGUGAAUUAAUUACUGUUAUAUACCCAUUGGACAGAUGAGAAAACUGAGAAAGAAGUGAGUGCCUUUCCCAAGGUCACCCAACUGGCAAGUGACGGGCCAGAUGUGGACAAGUGGGACAGGGUUUAAGUCCAGCUGCCAUGCUGCUCGAGUGAGGAAUCAACUCAGGACCAGUGGGCAUGUAAAUUAGUGGAGCCAUGAUGGAAAACAGUACGGAGACUCCUUAAAAACCUAGAAAUAGCUGUAUCAUCUGAUCCAGUAAUCCCACUGCUGAAUAUGCAAAGGAAAGGGAAUCGGUGUGUUGAAGACACAUCCGCACUCUCUUGUUUAUUGUGGCCCUGCUCAUAACAGCUGACAUAUGGAAUCAACCUGUCUGUCAAAAGACGAAUGGAUAAAAAAGGUGGACUAUACAAAUACAAUGGAAUGCACUUUAGCCACUAAAAGAGAAUGAAACCCUGUCACUCACAUCAACACGGAUGAGCCUGGAGAACGUUACAUUAAGUGAAAUAACCUGGGAGCAGAAAGAUAAACGCCACAUGUUCAUACUCACAUGUGACAACUAAAAAAGCUUAUCUCCUAGAAACAGAGAACGGAAAGCCAGCCACAGUGGCUCACACCCGUAAUCCCAGGCUGAGACAGGAGGAGAGCUUGAAGCCAGGAGUUCAAGACCUGUCUAGGCAACAUAGCAAGACCCUGUUUCUAAAAAUAAAAAUAAAAUUAGUCUGGCAUGGAGGCAUGUACCUGUAGUCCCAGUGACUUGGGAGACUGAGGCAGGAGGAUGAGUUGAGCCCAGGAGUUUGAGGCCACAGUGAGUUUUGCUAGUGCCACAGCACUCCAGCCUAGAAACAGAGUAAGAUCCUGUCCCUCUUUUAUUUUCUUUUUUGAAAUGGAGUUUCACUCUUUUUGCCCAGGCUGGAGUGCAAUGGUGUGAUCUCAGCUCACUGAUCUCAGCUCACUGCAACCUCCAUCUCCUGGGUUCAAGUGAUUGUUGUACACCCAGUAUUGCAAUCUAGUUUUUAGAACAUUUUCCAUCACCCACAAAAGAAAACUUAGGUUUCGCUGUUGUUACCCAGGCUGGAGUGCAAUGGCGCGAUCUCAGCUCACCGCAACCUCCGCCUCCUGGGUUCAGGCAAUUCUCCUGCCUCAGCCUCCUGUGUAGCUGGGAUUACAGGUGCACACCACAAUACGCAGCUGUGUAUUUUUAGUAGAGACGGGGUUUCACCAAGUUGGCGAGGCUGGUCUUGAACUCCUGACCUCAAGCGAUCCACUGAUAUCAGCCUCCCAAAGUGCUGGGAUUACAGGCAUGACCCACCGCUCCCGGCCUGACCCUGUCUCUCUUUUUUUAUUUUUAUUUUUUAAAAAGAUGGGAUGGCCAGGCUGGUCUUGAACUCCUGACCUCAGGUGAUCCACCCACCUAGGCCUCCCAAAGUGCUGAGAUUACAGGCAUGAGUCACCACUCCAAGCCUGACCCUGUCUCUUAAAAAAGCAUUCAUUGUGUCCAGCCUGGCCAACAUGGUGAAACCCCGUCUCUACUAAUAAUAUGAAAAAUGAGCUGGGCAUGGUGUCCAGCACCUGUAGUUCCAGCUAGUUGGGAGACUGAGGCAGGAGAAUUGCUUGAAUCUGGGAGGAGGAGAUUGCAGUGAGCCGGUAUCACGCCACUGCACUCCAGCCUGGGAGACAGAGAAACACUCUGUCUCAAAAAAAAAAAUCAAAAGACCAACAAAACAAAAAGUUGGUUUUUUGAAAAGAUAAACAAAAUAAAAAACUCUUUAGUUAAACUAAGAAGAGAAAAAGACUCAAAUAAAUAAAUCAGAGCCAAAAAGGAGAAAUUACACCUGAUACCACAGAGGUACAAAGAAUUAUUAGAGGCCAGGCGUGGUGGGUCAUGCCUGUUAUCCCAACACUUUGGGAGGCCAAGGUGGGUGGAUCACCUGAGGUCAGGAGUUCAAGACCAGCCUGGCCAACAUGGUGAAACCUAAGUGUCUGUCCAUCUUUACUAAAAACCCAAAAAUUAGCUGGGCGUGGUGGCACACACCUGUAAUCCCAGCUACUCGGGAGGCUGAGGCAGGAGAAUUACUAGAACUCAGGAGGCGGAGGUUGCACUGAGCCGAGAUAGCACCAUUGCACUCUAGUCUAGGCAACAAGAGUAAAACUCCAUCUCAAAACACAAAACAAAACAAAACAAAAACAGCCAAAUCAGGGCAGUGAGCGUCUCUGUCACCUCACACAUUUAUUAUUGAUUUGUGGUAAGAACAUUCAAAACUCUCUUCUAGCUAUUUUGAAAUAUACAGUAUUGUAAACUACAGUCUCUGACAGAACACCUGCCCUUGUUCCUCCUAUCUAACUGUAAUAGUGGUGGCACAUGCCUGUGGUCCCAGCUACUUGGGAGGCUGCGGCAAGAGAAUCACUUGAACCCAGAAGGCAGAGGUUGCAGUGAGCCAAGAUCGCACCACUGCACUCCAGUCUGGACAACAGAGAGAGACUCCAUUUCAGGGGGAAAAAAAAACCAGACCAGGCUCAGUGGCUGACUCUUGUAAUCCCAGCACUUUGGGAGGCUGAGGCAGGUGGAUCACUGAGGUCAAGAGUUUGAGACCAGCCUGGCCAACACAGUGGAACCCCAUCUCUACUAAAAAUAAAAAUAAAAAAUUAGCCAGGCAUGCUGGUGCAUGCCUGUAAACCCAGCUACUUCUAAAGCUGAAGCAGGCACACUUGAACCCAGGAGGUGGAGGUUGCAGUGAGCCAAGAUCGCACCACCGCACUCCAGCCUGGCGACAGAGUGAGACUCCUUCUCAAAAAAAAAAAAAAAGGAUUGUUAGAAACUAUGAUGAUAUCAUGAACAACCAAAUGGUAAACACCUGGAAAACCCAGAAGAAAUGAAUAAAUUCCUGGACACACAGAAUCUAUUCUGAUUGUGCCAUGAAGAAAGAGAAAACCUGAGUAAGGAGACUGUGGCAGUAAUUUAAAUUCUCCCAGCAAAAAAAGCUGGGACCUGAUCGCUUUACUGCUGAAUUCGACCACACAUUUAUUUUUUGUUUUUUGUUUUUUUUGAGACGGAGUUUCGCUCUUGUUACCCAGGCUGGAGUGCAAUGGCGCGAUCUCGGCUCACCGCAACCUCCACCUCCUGGGUUCAGGCAAUUCUCCUGCCUCAGCCUCCUGAGUAGCUGGGACUACAGGCACGCGCCACCAUGCCCAGCUAAUUUUUUGUGUUUUUAGUAGAGAUGGGGUUUCACUAUGUUGACCAAGAUUGUCUCGAUCUCCUGACCUCGUGAUCCACCCGCCUCGGCCUCCCAAAGUGCUGGGAUCACAGGCUUGGGCCACUGCGCCCGGCCACCACACAUUUAAAGGACUAAUACCACUUCUAUUCAAACUUUUCCAAAUAAUUGAAGAGGGGAGAACAUUUUCAAACUCGUAAGGCCAGCAUUACUCUGAUACCAAAACCAGACAAGUCAACGAUGAAAAAAGAAAACUACAGGCCAGUCCCCUGUUGAACAGACAGGAAAAUCCUCAACAUAGUACCACGAAACCAAAUCCCACAGCUACGUCAUCCAUGGUGACCGAGUGGGAGCCGUUACGGGAUUCGAGGACAGUUCAACAUAAGCAGCUCCGCCUGCCUUCCAGAGUGUGCUGUGUCUGAAUAAACCUCGGGGCUGCGACUGCCGCCGCCUUCCAUCCAGGCCAGCUGCUCCUUCUCCAAACGUGCUUUAUCUUCCUCCAAUAAAAUGCUACUUGGCCCUUGUGCCUCUCGGUUGCGUUCUUUCUUCCAAGAAAACAAGAACUGAGGACCCUGCCCUCUCCCGGUAACACGACUAUGGAAAAUAGCAUGGAGGUCCCUUGAAAAACCAAAAGUAGGUAUAACCAUCCGAUCCCGCGAUCUCACGGCUGGAUUUAUACCCCAGAGGAAGGAAAUGAGCGCAUCCAAGGGGUAUCUGCACUUUCGUGUUUACUGCAGCAUUCUUCACAAGACCCAAGACACAGAAUCGACCUCAAUGUCCAUCACAGGGGAAUGGAUAAACUGUGGCACAGGCCGGGCGCGGUGACUCACACCUGUAAUCCCAGCACUUUGGGAGGCCGAGGCAGGUGGAUCACCUGAGGUCAGGGGCUUGAGACCAGCCUGACCAACAUGGCAAAACCCUGCCUCUACUAAAAAUACAAAGUUAGCCAGGCGUGGUGGCACAUGCCUGUAAUUCCAGCUACUUGGGAAGCUGAGGCAAGAGAAUGGCUUGAACCUGGAAGGCAGAGGUUACUAGGAGCCAAACUAGCAACACUGCACUCCAGUCUGGGCGACAAGAUUGAAACUCCCAUCUCAAAAAAGAAAAGAAACUGUUGGCCGGGUGCGAUGGCUCACACCUGUAAUCCCAGCACUUUGGGAGGCCAAGGCAGGUGGAUCACAAGGUCAAGAGAUCAAGACUAUCCUGGCCAACAUGGUUAAACCCCAUCCGUCUCUAUCAAAAAAAAAAACAGCCAGGCAUGGUGGGGUGUGCCUGUAGUCCCAGCUACUCAGGAGGCUGAGGCAGGAAAAUUGCUUGAACCCUGGAGGCGGAGGUUGCAGUGAGCCAAGAUCAUGCCUGGUGACAGUGAGGCUCUGUCUCAAAAAAAAAAAAGAAGAAGAAAAAGAAAAACUGAUAUAUAUACACAGCGGAAUAUUAUUCAGCCAUAAAAAAGUAGCAACAUUCUGCCAUUUGUAGCAACAUCGAUGGAACUGGAGGACAGGAUGUUAAAUGAAAUAAACCAGGCACAGAAAGGCAAAGACCACAUGUUCCCACUCACAGGAGCUAAAUUCCUUGAUUUCAUAAAGGAAGAGAGUAAACAGUGCUUAGCAGAGGCUGGGGAGGGCUGGAGAAGUGGGCUAGGAGAGACCUUCAACGUAUACAAAGUUCCAAUUAGGAGGAAACAGUGCAGGUGUUCCAUUGGAGACUGUAGUUAACAAUAACGUAUAUUUCAAAAUAGCUGGAAGAGAGUUUUGAAUAUUCUUACCACAGAUAAAUAAUAAACGUGUGAGGUGAUAGAUAUGCUAAAUGCCCUGAUUUUGGCUGUUUUGUUUAUUUAUUUUCUUUUAUUUUGUUAAGAUGGAGUUUCACUCCUGUCGCCCAGGCUGGGGUGCAAUGGCGUGAUCUUGGCUCAGUGCAACCUCUGCCUCCCAGGUUCCAGCAAUUCUCCUGCCUCAGCCUGCCAAGUAGCUAGAAUUACAGGUGUCUGCCUCCAUGCCCAGGAAGAAAACGCAUCAGGCAAAGAAAAAAGCAAGUGAAAGGAAACAGAGCUAGGAGACGGAGAAAGAGACAGAAUCCCGAGGCCACCAGCCUAAGCCUCAGCCCCAGCCAGGCCUCAGGCUGCCUGCCCGCCAAGCUUCUGCACUGAGUCAUCUGCAGCUACAAGAAUGCUGGCAAACACUGAUUCUCCUUCUGGGGCUGUACCUGAAGGAAAUGACCAGAGGUGCACACAAAGUCCUGUGUAAGGGACUGUUUCCAAAAUUCACUUUUAUGGCAACCUAUUCUAUUCACGUGUUUUACAAACAAAGGAAAAUAGAAUGUCGAUAAGAAAAAUUACAGCAGUCACGAGUAUUUGAUGAAAUCAUCUAGCCCCAUGUAUUAAAACGUCGAUUCUUUUAAAGAUCUUUUUGUUUCUCCCAUUAAUUAAUGGUAGGUGGGAGAGUGACAUUAGCAAGACAUAAGAAUACUCCAGGCAGGUGCCUGUAAUUCCAGCACUUUGGGAGGCCAAGGCAGGAGGACUGCUUGAGUCCAGGAGUUCGAGACCAACCUAGGCAAUAUAGCAAGACUCCAUAUCUCUACAAAAAAAAAAACUUAAAAAUGAGCCGGGUGUGGUGACGUAUGCCUGUGGCCCUAGUUUCUCAGGAGACUGAGGUUGGAGGAUCACUGAGCUCAAGAGGGCAAGGCUGCAGGGAAGCCAUGCUGAUGCCACUGCAGUGCCGCCUGGGUGACAGAGUGACACUCUGUUCCGAAAAAAAAGAAACAAGUACUGUAGCUCCACUUCCCACCACAGAAUCUAACUAGCAACUAUGUACAGAUGGGCAUAGUCUCCAGAAUAUCCCAGAACACAGGAGGAAUGCUGCCCAGGCUGGACGGAGUGCAAUGGCGCCAUCUCGGCUCACUGCCAUCCCCGCCUCCUGGGUUCAAGUGAUUCUCCUGCCUCAGCCUCCCAAGUAGCUGGGAUUACAGGCGCAUGCCACCACACCUGGCUGAUUGUUUGUAUUUCUAGUAGAGAUGGGUUUUCACCGUGUGGGCCAGGCCGGUCUUGAACUCCUGACCUCAGGUGAUCCACCCGCCUUGGCCUCCCAAAGUGCUGGGAUUACAGGCGUAAGCCACCAUGCCCAGACUGACUUUUGACAAAGGCACGAAGAACAUACCCAGGGGAAAGAACAGUCUAUUCAAUAAAUGGUGCUGGGGAAAGUGGCUAUUCCUAUGCAGAAAUAUCAUUAUUCCCUUAGCUUACACCAUGCCCCAAAAGCAACCCAACAUGGAUCAAAGAGUUAAAUAUUAGGCCUGACACUGCAAAAUUACUCUAAGAAAGCAUAGAGAAAAAGCUCCGUGACAGUGAUCUGGCCAAUGGUUUUUUGGGGAUGUCCCCAAAAACACAGACAGCUAAAGCAAAAUAGACAAACAGGAUGGCCUCAAACUCAAAGUCUUCUGUACAGCAAAAGGAACAAGUAACGAAGUAGAGACAACCCAGGUCGUAAGAAAAAAACUCUGCAAACCAUACGUCAGACAAGACGCUAAUAUCCAGGCCGGGCGCGGUGGCUCACGCCUGUAAUCCCAGCACUUUGGGAGGCUGAGGCGGGUGGAUCCCGAGGUCAAGAGAUCAAGACCAUCCUGGUCAACAUGGUGAAACCCCGUCUCUACUAAAAAUACAAAAAUUAGCUGGGCACGGUGGCGUGUGCCUGUAAUCCCAGCUACUCGGGAGGCUGAGGCAGGAGAAUUGCCUGAACCCAGGAGGCGGAGGUUGCGGUGAGCCGAGAUCGCGCCAUUGCACUCCAGCCUGGGUAACAAGAGCGAAACUCCGUCUCAAAAACAAAACAAAACAAAACAUGGUGAAACCCUGUCUCUACUAAAAAUACAAAAAUUAGCUGGGCGUGGCACCAGGUGCCUGUAAUCCCAGCUACUCAGGAGGCUGAGGCAGGAGAAUUGCCUGAACCCAGGAGGUGAGGUUGUGGUGAGCCGAGAUCGCGCCAUUGCACUCCAGCCUGGGUAGCAAGAGCGAAACUCUGUCUCAAAAAAAAAGAGGCUAAUAUCCAAAAUAUAUAAGGAACUCAAACAACAGCAAAAGAGCAAAGAAGCUCUGGAGCCCAGAGCUGACCAGUGGCAACCUGAAUCUAGGAAAAUGCACAUUAAAACGGCAGUGAGAUACCACCUCACUCUCAUCAGAACAGGUCUUAUGAAAAAGAUGGAAGGUAAGUGUUGGCCAGAAUGUGGAGAAAGGGAAACCCUAGCACACUGCCAGCAUACAGCACAGCCGCCACGGAAAAUGGCAUGGACAUUCCUCAAAAAACUACACAGAACUACUGUAUGAGCCAGCAAUCCCACUUCUGGGAAUACAUCCAAAGGAACUGAAAUCAGGGAUAUCUGUAUUCCCAUGUUCACUGCAGCCCCAUUUACAGUAGCCACAAUGAGGAAUCUGCCUAAAUCAGUCAGGCUAAGAUGAAUGCACUCAGAAAAGGCAGUGCCCAUACACAGUGGCGUACUAUUCAACCUUAAAGAGAACAAAACUUGGCAGGCACAGUGGCUCACAUGUGUAAUCCCAGCACUUUGGGAGGCCGAGAUGGGUGGAUCACCUGAGCUCGAGACAGGCCUGAAAAACAUGGUGAAACCCCAUCUCUACUAAAAAAAAAAAAAAAAAAAAUACAAAAUUAGCCAGGUGUGGUGGCACAUGCCUGUAAUCCCAGCUACUCCGGAGGCUGAGGCAGAAAUUGCUUGAACCUGGGAGGCAGAGAUUGCGGUGAGCCGAGAUUGCGGUGAGCCGAGACUGCGCCAUUGUACUCCAGCCUGGGCAACAAGGGCAAAACUCCAUCUCAUUAAUUAAAAUAAAAUAAAGCUGCCUCCAUAUAUAGCACACUGUAACCUAACUUAAGAGGGGUGAAAGGAAAAUAAAUAUUGGGGCCCCCAAAAAUCACCAGGCCUAAGGGAAAAGUAAGGCUAGGAACUGCUUAGGGCAAAUCUGCCUCGCAUCUAUCCAGUUUCCACUCUGCUCACUGAGCUAAAUGCCGAUCUGAUUGCCUCCUUUGGAGAGGCUAAGCAGAAACGCAAAGAACGCAAUCAUUGUGUCUUACCCACCUACGACCCGGAAGCCUCCAGCUGUCUUACCUUUGCUUGAGUUGUCCUGCCUUUCCCGACCGAAUGUUCAUCUUCCAUAUGCUGACUGAUGUCCACUGUGUCCUUAAAAUGUAUAAAACUGGGGCCGGGCGCAGUGGAUCAAGCCUGUAAUCCCAGCACUUUGGGAGGCCAAGGCGGGUGGAUCCCGAGGUCAAGAGAUCGAGACCAUCCUGGUCAACAUGGUAAAACCCCGUGUCUACUAAAAAUACAAAAAUUAGCUGGGCAUGGUGGCGCGUGCCUGUAGUCCCAGCUACUCAGGAGGCUGAGGCAGGAGAAUUGCCUGAACCCAGGAGGCGGAGGUUGCGGUGAGCCAAGAUCGUGCCAUUGCACUCCAGCCUGGGUAAUGAGAGCGAAACUCUGUCUCAUUAAAAAAAAAAACAAAAAAAAAACGUAUAAAAGCAAACUAUGCUCUGACCACCUUGGGGACAUGUCGUGGGGGCAGCCUGAGGCUGUGUUAUAGGCACCUGACCUCAACCUUGGCAAAUAAACUUUCUAGAUUAACUGAGACCUGUCUCAAAUAUGUGGGGUUCACAUAGAUAAACAAAAAAAACCCGCAACCUGAACUGAGAAUAUGCCCCGGUCAUAAGUAGCCCAGCCUCGGCUAAUCACCGCGGUGGAGGUCUUGGCUCCUCACAGUUCACGAGCUGCCAAAACAUGUUCAGCGAAGGAAACUGCAGGGCUGCAACCGACAGGCUGUUUCUGCCUGAAACGUACAUUUUCUGGCUAUCAAUAUUCCCCGCCCACUUGUGGAGCAGUGAUUUCUGAAGCAUUUUUGGUUCUCAGUGCUACCUGGUUCACGAAUCUUUUUUCUGUUCAACUAAACUGUCAAAUGUAGUCCUAAGGCUUUUCUCUUGAACAGUAUACAUAUAUCACACAUCACAUUGUACUACAAAAACGUAAUUCACUGUGUGACAUGGUAAAAGCCCCAUAAAACUGCUCACCUCAACCAUACCUCCGCUUUCUAUUGAAACUGCUCUCCGUAACCCAAAUGUGACAGGCAAGCAGUCCAAACCCACGCCACCUUGGCCCCUGCGACUUGUAAUAAGUAAUUAAGGUCUAUGAUUUCCACCCUACCCAGACAGUGUGUAAACAAAUGUUAAUCUUGCCUUUUAUGAACCACUUAAGUACCAAUCAGAACGUCAAGUCCCCUGGCCCUCAGAGUGUCCAGAGCCCCUCACCCUCAUCUUCACCCAGGAAUCCACUGGAAUGUCCGGAGCCCCUCAGCCUCAUCUCCACCCAGGAGGUGAUUAACAGAAUCCACUAGCCCUCAGAACAUCUGAAGCCCCUCAGCCUCAUCUCCGCCCAGGAGGUGAUUAACAGAAUCCACUAGACCUCAGAACAUCUGAAGCCCCUCACCCUCACUCCCGAGGUGAUUUUACGGGUAUAAAAGGUCUUGAUACCCACCUUUCGGGGCCAUGAGUUGGAGAGACUCGAGUCCUCUGUGGCCCCUGGCAAUACACACCCUGCAAUUUGGCAUACUUUUGUCUUGGUGUUGACUUUCUAUGCUCGGGCCAGUACAACAACUGUGAUUUAUAAAUUUCCAAUAGUCUAUAUAUUUUUUGAGACAGAGACACCUCUGUCACCCAGGCUGGAGUGCAGUGGCACCAUCAUGGUUCACUGAACCUCAAACUCCUGGGCUCAAGCAAUCCUCUCACCUCAGCCUCCUAAGUAGCUGGAAACAAACGUGCAAGCCACCAUGCCCAGCUAAUUGUUUUUUAAUUAUUGUAGAGAUGAGGGUCUCACUGUGUCGCCCAGACUGGUCUCGAACUCCUGGUCUCAGUGUAUCCUCCUGUGUGAUCCUCCCACCUCAGCCUCCGGAAGAACUGGGAUUACAGGUGUGAGCCACCACACCUGGCCCAAAAAUAGUAUAUCAUUUCUUUUAAACACUAGAUGAUUUUUUUCAGCUUUUAUUUUAGAAUCAGAGGGUACGUGCGCAGGUGAGUUACAAAGGUAUAUUGCGUGAAACUGAGGUGUGGGGUAUGCCUGAACCCAUCAAGGGGAUAUUUUGGUUGUCAACUACCUGAAAAAAAAUUUUCCUUUCCACUCAACAGCUGCAGCACUAUUUUAAAACAUGAAAAUGUAACAAUAAGGGUUAAACAAAUUUUGACAAAUUUAUAAAAUGGAAUACUAUGGUGACAUUAAAACAUUUUAGACUGUUUAAUCAAGAUAGGGAAAAUGCAUACUUUCCUGGG